AGCAGCCGCGGUAAUUCCAGCUCCAAUAGCGUAUAUUAAAGUUGUUGCAGUUAAAAAGCUCGUAGUUGAAUUUCGGGGUCAGUAGGUCGGUCGUGCCACUGGUAUGAACUGGUCUCGCUGAUCCCUCCCUCUUGACGAACUGUGAUGCCAUUAAUUUGGUGUCGCAGGGAUUCAGGACUAGUUACUUUGAAAAAUUAGAGUGUUUAAAGCAGGCUUUCGCUUGAAUACAUUAGCAUGGAAUAAUGAAAUAGGACGUUUGAUCUUAUUUUGUUGGUUUCUAGGAUUGACGUAAUGAUUAAUAGGGAUAGUUGGGGGCAUUAGUAUUCAAUUGUCAGAGGU
This 339-nucleotide ribosomal RNA is filed under the name uncultured Glomus. RNAcentral describes it as "SSU rRNA". It matches the Rfam family "Eukaryotic small subunit ribosomal RNA", at positions 569 to 912 of the family's 1831-position model. Lineage: Eukaryota; Fungi; Glomeromycota; Glomeromycetes; Glomerales; Glomeraceae. The record is from RNAcentral.